UGGGGAAUAUUGCACAAUGGGCGCAAGCCUGAUGCAGCCAUGCCGCGUGUAUGAAGAAGGCCUUCGGGUUGUAAAGUACUUUCAGCGGGGAGGAAGGUGUUGAGGCUAAUAACCUCAGCAAUUGACGUUACCCGCAGAAGAAGCACCGGCUAACUCCGUGCCAGCAGCCGCGGUAAUACGGAGGGUACAAGCGUUAAUCGGAAUUACUGGGCGUAAAGCGCACGCAGGCGGUGUGUCAAGUCGGAUGUGAAAUCCCCGGGCUCAACCUGGGAACUGCAUUCGAAACUGGCAGGCUAGAGUCUUGUAGAGGGGGGUAGAAUUCCAGGUGUAGCGGUGAAAUGCGUAGAGAUCUGGAGGAAUACCGGUGGCGAAGGCGGCCCCCUGGACAAAGACUGACGCUCAGGUGCGAAAGCGUGGGGAGCAAACA
RNAcentral lists this ribosomal RNA (427 nucleotides) under uncultured bacterium. RNAcentral's name for it is "partial 16S ribosomal RNA". It matches the Rfam family "Bacterial small subunit ribosomal RNA", at positions 355 to 774 of the family's 1533-position model. The record is from RNAcentral.